RNAcentral lists this ribosomal RNA (301 nucleotides) under uncultured bacterium. Its description in RNAcentral is "bacterial SSU rRNA". It matches the Rfam family "Bacterial small subunit ribosomal RNA", at positions 337 to 652 of the family's 1533-position model. The record is from RNAcentral.
UCCUACGGGGGGCAGCAGUGGGGAAUAUUGGGCAAUGGGCGCAAGCCUGACCCAGCAACGCCGCGUGAAGGAAGAAGGCUUUCGGGUUGUAAACUUCUUUUAUGAGGGACGAAAGAAAUGACGGUACCUCAUGAAUAAGCCACGGCUAACUACGUGCCAGCAGCCGCGGUAAUACGCAGGUGGCAAGCGUUGUCCGGAUUUACUGGGUGUAAAGGGCGCGUAGGCGGGAUAGCAAGUCAGUCGUGAAAUGCCGAGGCUUAACCUCGGAGCUGCGAUUGAAACUGUUAUUCUUGAGUAUCGG